This 253-nucleotide ribosomal RNA is filed under the name uncultured bacterium. RNAcentral's name for it is "partial 16S ribosomal RNA". It matches the Rfam family "Bacterial small subunit ribosomal RNA", at positions 524 to 776 of the family's 1533-position model. The record is from RNAcentral.
UACAGAGGUCCCAAGCGUUGUUCGGAUUCACUGGGCGUAAAGGGUGCGUAGGUGGUUAGGUAAGUCGGAUGUGAAAUCUCCGGGCUCAACCCGGAAAUGGCAUUGGAAACUACCUUGCUGGAGGAUUUGAGGGGGGAUUGGAAUACUUGGUGUAGCAGUGAAAUGCGUAGAUAUCAAGUGGAACACCAGUGGCGAAGGCGAAUCCCUGGAAAAUACCUGACACUGAGGCACGAAAGCUAGGGGAGCAAACAGG